UGGGGUUGUAGCUCAGUGGUAGAGUGCUUACCUAGCAUGUGCGAGGCCCUGGGUUUAAUUCCCAGCACCACAA
This 73-nucleotide transfer RNA is filed under the name Marmota monax (woodchuck). RNAcentral describes it as "tRNA.Ala". It matches the Rfam family "tRNA". From Rfam's summary of the family: Transfer RNA (tRNA) molecules are approximately 80 nucleotides in length. Their secondary structure includes four short double-helical elements and three loops (D, anti-codon, and T loops). The record is from RNAcentral. Lineage: Eukaryota; Metazoa; Chordata; Mammalia; Rodentia; Sciuridae.